UAUUUUGGCGACUAACGUUUAAUGUAUGGUAAAUAUUAAUUGGAUGUGGUAUGUAAAUAAUAACUUUUUGAUCCUUAUAUUAAGAAUUAUAAGAUUGAGACGAUAGUGAUCGGUCCACUCAAAGUUUAGUAGUCCUCCUAAAAGAAUAGUGUUAUCCAAGGGAGAGAAAUGGUCAAAGAGUUGAUCCAAUAACUAAAAAUCGGAAGCACCAACUAAUUUAUAUUUCCGAAAGCACCACAGCCGUACUCAUAAUUUAUAUUGACAUGUUAUUCUUUCUUCUUAUAUAAAUUUUUCGCUCGACCUAGUCCAUCAUAGACCACACAUCUAAUAUCCAAAUUAAUACAGAAAUAAACUAUUCAAUAUUAUAUUUUUUUGAAUAUAGUUUUUAAGUGUUUCGAUAACAUUCAAAUACUGUAUAAAAUU
Molecule: long non-coding RNA, 423 nt
Filed under: Ananas comosus (pineapple)
Lineage: Eukaryota; Viridiplantae; Streptophyta; Magnoliopsida; Poales; Bromeliaceae
Description: long non-coding RNA (ACOM_LNC009844)
Source: RNAcentral